This is a long non-coding RNA of Beta vulgaris subsp. vulgaris (sugar beet), 431 nucleotides long. RefSeq lists it as uncharacterized. The transcript has 2 exons. Lineage: Eukaryota; Viridiplantae; Streptophyta; Magnoliopsida; Caryophyllales; Amaranthaceae. The record is from RefSeq and is a predicted model, not a curated record.
UAAAUUUUUAACAAGUCUGGUCAAACCCUAAAACGCACCGUAUUUACCCGUCACUUCAAAAGGUGCACUUUAGUUUCUGGUGAUCCGAGUUUUGCAUAAACCCUAUCUAUGGUGGGUUCUUCUAGCUCAGGCAUAAUUUGUUUUUGGUAUCAAGGAUGAACACAUGCGCAAGUGCUCCGAGGAAUAUAGGGCGCCUCCAACCUCAUGAAAGUCUUAGCCCAAAGGUUGAGAGCUGCCCUUUGACCCUUUAGCAAAAAUUUCACGUCAAGAUUGAAUAGAAUUGAAUCAUUUGCUAUGGUUGUGAGGAGAGGAACCAUACUAUUGACCUCCCACUUGAUUCUUAACCAAAAAUAAGUGUAUGAUAUACGAAGAUAGUCUCGUUUAAUUCUCGACCAUUGGAUCUCAAGAUCAAAAAUGGUCUAUUGUAGUUA